UAAUAUCCAUCAACGACCACAAGGAAAAAAUCUGCCAACUCUGCACUAGCCUAAAGUAAACGGCAAAACUCGUGAAUCCUCUGUGCAUCUAUGUUCAACUUCAGGUUAACCAGGGGUGA
Sander lucioperca (pikeperch) is the source of this 119-nucleotide long non-coding RNA. RefSeq lists it as uncharacterized. Lineage: Eukaryota; Metazoa; Chordata; Actinopteri; Perciformes; Percidae. The transcript has 3 exons. The record is from RefSeq and is a predicted model, not a curated record.